GUUGGUAGACGGUCGUCUGUCUGUCUGUUUGAGAAGCUUUACAUUGCCAAAUAAUUUUUGUACAGCUUCUUUUUCUUUUCUAACUAUCUGAAGCCGAGCUAUGAUCAGGGAACUCAUAGGUGAUAUCACUCUACCAAGAAAGACCCCGCAUUAAUGAGAACAACUUAUUUAUGCAAUGACAUAAUGCUCUCUGUACCUAGACGGACAGACACAGGACAGGUUGUUGACAUAAUGCUCUCUGUACCUAGACAGACACAGGACAGGUUGUUGACAUAAUGCUCUCUGUACCUAGACAGACACAGGACAGGUUGUUGACAUAAUGUUCUCUGUACCUGGACAGACAGACACAGG
Molecule: long non-coding RNA, 351 nt
Organism: Oncorhynchus tshawytscha (Chinook salmon)
Lineage: Eukaryota; Metazoa; Chordata; Actinopteri; Salmoniformes; Salmonidae
Source: Ensembl